CAGCAGUGGGGGAAUAUUGCACAAUGGGCGCAAGCCUGAUGCAGCCAUGCCGCGUGUGUGAAGAAGGCCUUCGGGUUGUAAAGCACUUUCAGUCGUGAGGAAGGUAGUGUAGUUAAUAGCUGCAUUAUUUGACGUUAGCGACAGAAGAAAGCACCGGCUAACUCCGUGCCAGCAGCCGCGGUAAUACGGAGGGUGCGAGCGUUAAUCGGAAUUACUGGGCGUAAAGCGCAUGCAGGUGGUUUGUUAAGUCAGAUGUGAAAGCCCGGGGCUCAACCUCGGAAUUGCAUUUGAAACUAGGCAGACUAGAGUACUGUAGAGGGGGGUAGGAAUUUCAGGUGUAGCGGUGAAAUGCGUAGAGAUCUGAAGGAAUACCGGUGGCGAAGGCGGCCCCCUCGGACAGAUACUGACACUCAGAUGCGAAAGCGUGGGGAGCAAACAGGAUUAGAUACCCUGGUAG
RNAcentral lists this ribosomal RNA (457 nucleotides) under uncultured bacterium. Its description in RNAcentral is "bacterial SSU rRNA". It matches the Rfam family "Bacterial small subunit ribosomal RNA", at positions 349 to 793 of the family's 1533-position model. The record is from RNAcentral.